RNAcentral lists this ribosomal RNA (380 nucleotides) under uncultured eukaryote. Its description in RNAcentral is "partial 18S ribosomal RNA". It matches the Rfam family "Eukaryotic small subunit ribosomal RNA", at positions 592 to 976 of the family's 1831-position model. The record is from RNAcentral.
CAAUAGCGUAUAUUAAAGUUGUUGCGGUUAAAAAGCUCGUAGUUGGAGUUCUGCCAGGUGCCGCCUGUCCGCCCCAGUGGUGAGUACGUGGCGCGCAUUUGGCCCUUUCAAGGGGAGCGUAUCUGCACUUUAUUGUGUGGUGCGGGAUCCUUGACUUUUACUUUGAGGAAAUAGGAGUGUUCCAAGCAGGUUCUCGUCGUGCACAGCUCAGCAUGGAAUAAUAGCAUUGGACCUCGAUUCUAAGCUGUUGGUUGCCAGAAGCGAGGUAAUGAUGAAGAGGGAUAGUUGGGGGCAUUCGUAUUUCAUUGUCAGAGGUGAAAUUCUUGGAUUUAUGAAAGACGAACUACUGCGAAAGCAUUUGCCAAGGAUGUUUUCAUUAA